This 493-nucleotide ribosomal RNA is filed under the name uncultured bacterium. RNAcentral's name for it is "bacterial SSU rRNA". It matches the Rfam family "Bacterial small subunit ribosomal RNA", at positions 28 to 517 of the family's 1533-position model. The record is from RNAcentral.
GAUGAACGCUAGCGGCAGGCCUAAUACAUGCAAGUCGAACGGUUCAUGGUUUUCGGAUCAUGGAUAGUGGCGCACGGGUGCGUAACGCGUACACAACAUACCCUUUACUGGGGGAUAGCGGUGGGAAACUGCCAGUAAUACCCCAUGUCCUCGUGAGGUGGCAUUAUUUUGUCGAGGAAAGUUACGGCGGUAAAGGAUUGGUGUGCGUCCGAUUAGCUAGUUGGCGGGGUAACGGCCCACCAAGGCGACGAUCGGUAGGGGGUNUGAGAGCAUGGCCCCCCCANACGGGUACUGAGACACGGACCCGACUCCUACGGGAGGCAGCAGUAAGGAAUAUUGGACAAUGGUCGGAAGACUGAUCCAGCCAUGCCGCGUGAAGGAAGAAGGCGCUCAGCGUUGUAAACUUCUUUUGGAUGGGAAUAAUAACCUCGACGUGUCGGGGCUUNAAGGUACCAUCAGAAUAAGNACCCGGCUAACUCCGUGCCAGCAGCCG